UGAAUACGAGACGCUACGGCGUCGAAGCAGUCUAUGUCAUACUUCCAAGAAAAGCUUGCACUGUCAUAAACAAAUAAUGCCUGUACCAUAACCGACACAGGUGGGUAGGUAGAGUAUACUAAGGGGCGCGAGAUAACUCUCUCUAAGGAACUCGGCAAAAUGACUCCGUAACUUCGGGAGAAGGAGUGCCUUAUUUAUAAGGUUGCAAUAACAAGAUCCAAGCAACUGUUUAUCAAAAACACAGGUCUCCGCUAAGUCGUAAGACGAUGUAUGGGGGCUGACGCCUGCCCAGUGCCAGAAGGUUAAAGAAGUUGGUUAGCAUUAGCGAAGCUGAUAACUGAAGCCCUGGUGAACGGCGGCCGUAACAAUAACGGUCCUAAGGUAGCGAAAUUCCUUGUCGGGUAAGUUCCGACCCGCACGAAAGGCGUAAUGAUUUGGAUACUGUCUCAGAGAGGGGCUCGGUGAAAUAGACUUGUCUGUGAAGAUGCGGACUACCUGCACCAGGACAGAAAGACCCUAUGAAGCUUUACUGUAACUUGAAAUUGAAAUUGGACUUUAUUUGCGCAGUAUAGGUGGGAGGCAUUGAUAAUAUUCUUGCGGGAAUGUUGGAGCCAUCAGUGAGAUACCACUCUUGUAAUGUUAGAUUUCUAACUUUGGAUCAUUAUCUGGUCAAAGGACAGUUUCAGGCGGGCAGUUUGACUGGGGCGGUCGCCUCCUAAAUGGUAACGGAGGCGCACAAAGGUUUCCUCUGAACGGGUAGAAAUCGUAUCUAGAGUGUAAAGGCAUAAGGAAGCUUGACUGUGAGACCUACAAGUCGAGCAGGGACGAAAGUCGGUCUUAGUGAUCUGACGGUGCUGAGUGGAAAGGCCGUCACUCAACGGAUAAAAGUUACUCUAGGAUAACAGGCUGAUCUCCCCCAAGAGUUCACAUCGACGGGGAGGUUUGGCACCUCGAUGUCGGCUCAUCGCAUCCUGGGGCGGUAGUACGUCCCAAGGGUUGGGCUGUUCGCCCAUGAAAGCGGUACGCGAGCUGGGUUCAGAACGUCGUGAGACAGUUCGGUCCAUAUCCGGUGUAGGCGUUAGAAUAUUGAGAGGAGCCUUCUUUAGUACGAGAGGACCGAGAAGGACAUACCUCUGGUGUACCAGUUAUCGUGCCAACGGUAAACGCUGGGUAGCUAUGUAUGGAGAGGAUAACCGCUGAAAGCAUCUAAGUGGGAAGCCCACCUCAAGAUAAGUAUUCUCA
This 1242-nucleotide ribosomal RNA is filed under the name metagenome. RNAcentral describes it as "bacterial LSU rRNA". It matches the Rfam family "Bacterial large subunit ribosomal RNA", at positions 1564 to 2816 of the family's 2925-position model. The record is from RNAcentral.